CAGUAGGGAGGAAGGUAGUGUAGUUAACACCUGCAUUAUUUGACGUUACCUACAGAAGAAGCACCGGCUAACUCCGUGCCAGCAGCCGCGGUAAUACGGAGGGUGCGAGCGUUAAUCGGAAUUACUGGGCGUAAAGCGCAUGCAGGCGGCUGUUAAGUCAGAUGUGAAAGACCCGGGGCGUUAACCUCGGAAUUGCAUUUGAAACUAGGCAGGCUAGAGUCUUGUAGAGGGGGGUAGGAAUUUCAGGUGUAGCGGUGAAAUAGCGUAGAGAUCUGAAGGAAUACCAGUGGCGAAGGCGGCCCCCUCGGACAAAGACUGACGCUCAGAUGCGAAAGCGUGGGGAGCAAACAGGAUUAGAUACCCCUGGUAG
RNAcentral lists this ribosomal RNA (370 nucleotides) under uncultured bacterium. Its description in RNAcentral is "bacterial SSU rRNA". It matches the Rfam family "Bacterial small subunit ribosomal RNA", at positions 434 to 793 of the family's 1533-position model. The record is from RNAcentral.